UACGGGGGGGGCAAGCGUUGUUCGGAAUUACUGGGCGUAAAGGGCGCGUAGGCGGUUCGCUAAGUUGAAUGUGAAAACUCUGGGCUUAACCCAGAGCCUGCAUUCAAUACUGGCGGGCUAGAGUUCUGGAGGGGAUAGCGGAAUUCCUGGUGUAGCGGUGAAAUGCGCAGAUAUCAGGAAGAACACCCGUGGCGAAAGCGGCUCUCUGGAACGGUACUGACGCUGAGACGCGAAAGCGUGGGGAGCGAACAGG
Molecule: ribosomal RNA, 253 nt
Filed under: uncultured bacterium
Lineage: Bacteria
Description: partial 16S ribosomal RNA
Rfam family: Bacterial small subunit ribosomal RNA
Source: RNAcentral